GACCGGCCGGAUCCGCCGCGGGCGCUGCGCCUCUGGGGCCGCUCGGGCUCCUGGCUGGGCCUGGCCUGGGAGCCGGGCUGGGACGGGGGCCUGCCCCAGCACUUCCUGCUCCGCGCGGAGGGCCCGGACGCCCCUCCCCCACCCGCCGCCCUCGUCACUUCCGGUUUCUCCCUCCCGCUGGGCGGGCUCCGCCCGGCCACGCCCUAUGACGUCACCCUGCGCGCCCGCAACGCCCGCGGGGACAGCGCCCCCGUGCGGCUGAGAGCCGUCACUUCCGCCCUGCCCGAGGCCCCGCCCCCGGCGCGGGAGGGAGCCGGCGGCGCCCCCUGGUGGCGGGGGAGGACCCGCUGUGGCCCGUCCUGCAGGGGGCGCUGUGCGCCCUGGGGGGGCUCCUCCUCCUGGCCGGGCUGGGGGCGGGGCUCGGCUGCUGCUACUUCCGGUGGGGCGGGGCGGCGCCGCCGCGAGGCCGCGGAGGG
This is a long non-coding RNA of Passer domesticus (house sparrow), 476 nucleotides long. RefSeq lists it as uncharacterized. NCBI's taxonomy places the organism in Eukaryota, Metazoa, Chordata, Aves, Passeriformes, Passeridae. The transcript has 3 exons. The record is from RefSeq and is a predicted model, not a curated record.